Molecule: transfer RNA, 72 nt
Filed under: Ovis aries (sheep)
Lineage: Eukaryota; Metazoa; Chordata; Mammalia; Artiodactyla; Bovidae
Rfam family: tRNA
About the family: Transfer RNA (tRNA) molecules are approximately 80 nucleotides in length.
Source: Rfam by way of RNAcentral
UCCCUGGUGGCUCAGUUGGUAAAGAAUCUGCCUGAAAUGCAGGAGACCUGGGUUCAAUCCCUGAUCAGGAAG